GUGAACAAGUACCGCGAGGGAACGGUGAAAAGAACCCCUGCUAGGGGAGUGAAAAAGAACCUGAAACCGAUUGCAUACAAUGUGUGGGAGCUGCCGCAAGGCAGUGACCGCUUGCCUUUUGCAUAAUGAGUCUGCGAGUUAUUGUCAGUGGCCAGCCAAAGGUUCUCUGAACCGAAGGCGAAGGGAAACCGAGUGCCAAUAGCGCGACCAGUCGCUGGCAAUAGACCCGAAGCGGAGGUGAUCUACUCUUGAGCAGGUUGAAGCUGAGGUAACACUCAGUGGAGGCCCGAACCAGUGUUGGUUGAAAACAGCUUGGAUGAGCUGAGGGUAGGGGUGAAAGGCUAAUCAAACUUGGCGAUAGCUGGUUCUCCUCGAAAGAUAUUUGGGUAUCGCCUCGGGAAAUUAAGUCUUGGGGGUAGAGCACUGAAUGGGCUAGGGGGCAUAUCGCUUACCGAACCUUAUCAAACUCCGAAUGCCAUAUACAUUAAGUCCGGCAGUCAGACUACGAAUGAUAAGAUCCGUGGUCAAAAGGGAAACAGCCCAGAUUGGCAGCUAAGGCCCCGAAUCCAUGCUCAGUGUAGAUAAGGAAGUGGAGUUGCUUGGACAGCUAGGAUGUUGGCUUAGAAGCAGCCAUCAUUUAAAGAAAGCGUAAUAGCUCACUGGUCGAGCGAGCCUGCGCCGAAAAUACAACGGGGCUAAAGCCUAGCACCGAAGCUUCGGGCUUCUUCGGAAGCGGUAGGGGAGUACUCUCAAGCAGAUACACGGCGUACCGGCAAGGAGCGCUAUCGGGCUUGAGAGGAGCUUAUGCAGGCAUGAGUAGCGAUAAACAGGAUGAGAAAUCCUGUCGCCGUAAGCCCAAGGUUUCCCGGGGUAGGAUAAUCCUCCCGAGGGUUAGUCGGAUCCUAAGCCGAGGCUGAAAAGCGUAGGCGAUGGAAAGCAGGUUAAUAUUCCUGCGCCUGCUAUACACUAAAAGGGACGGAGAGCCGUGGUGGCUACGUACGGACGGAAGUGUACGUUGAGCCCAGCCUUCGGGCAAAGCGAAGCCAUAAAAGUUCUUCCAAGAAAAACGAGUAUAGCAGCCGGUACCGUAAACCGACACAGGUAGUCGAGGAGAGAAUCCUAAGGUGCUCGAGUGAGUCAUGGCUAAGGAACUAGGCAAAUUAACCCUGUAACUUCGGGAAAAGGGGUGCCUCCUUAUAGCAAUAUGAGAGGUCGCAGAGAAAUGGCCCAGGCGACUGUUUAACAAAAACACAUGGCUAUGCGAAAUCGAAAGAUGAAGUAUAUGGCCUGACACCUGCCCGGUGCUGGAAGGUUAAGCGGAGAGGUCAGCCACUUCGGUGGCGAAGCUUUGAUUCUAAGCCCCAGUAAACGGCGGCGGUAACUAUAACCGUCCUAAGGUAGCGAAAUUCCUUGUCGGGUAAGUUCCGACCUGCACGAAUGGCGUAACGACUUCCCUACUGUCUCAACCACAGACCCAGCGAAAUUGAAGUACGAGUAAAGAUGCUCGUUAGCUGCGGAAGGACGGAAAGACCCCGUGGACCUUCACUAUAACUUGAUGUUGUGUUUUGGUUUAGAUUGUGUAGGAUAGGUGGGAG
This 1595-nucleotide ribosomal RNA is filed under the name Selaginella bryopteris. RNAcentral's name for it is "bacterial LSU rRNA". It matches the Rfam family "Bacterial large subunit ribosomal RNA", at positions 490 to 2153 of the family's 2925-position model. The record is from RNAcentral. Lineage: Eukaryota; Viridiplantae; Streptophyta; Lycopodiopsida; Selaginellales; Selaginellaceae.